AUUCUCUCCUAAUCUAGUAUUCC
RNAcentral lists this non-coding RNA (23 nucleotides) under Arabidopsis thaliana (thale cress). The record is from RNAcentral. Lineage: Eukaryota; Viridiplantae; Streptophyta; Magnoliopsida; Brassicales; Brassicaceae.